UUUGCGGAGGAAUUUAAGAGGUGCUUCGGACCGAAUAUUAAUUAAUGAUUAAUUGAUUAAACAGCAUUCCACAAUCCAUAUUUCACAUAUUUUAAAAUGCAUUUUUGUACAAAAAUAUUUUUUGUGUGUUCUUUUUGUUUGGUUUUUUCUCUUUGCUUCGGUUUAUUAUUCGUAAUACCCAUGUCAGAAGAAUACAGGUGCAAUCUCUUGCAACUCUUCUUCUUCUCAUUCAUCGACAUUCAAUCAGAUGUUUUCUAUUGUUUAUUUAUUUCUUUCUGUGAUUUUAAUUUGAAAAUAUUUUUUUUGGAAUUAGCAAGACUAAUGGUUUUUGGAGAACAACUUUACAAAAUGUGAAAAAAGUAAAUAUUAAUAUGUAAUAAGAAAAUAAAAGACUAUUUCCAGCAUUUUUAGACAAAUGCCAUUAGCAACAGGUUUAAAAGAUUCCACGGAACACAUCAUAUCUAUCUUCCUUUUAUUACUCAUAUUUUUAUUUUAUUGUCAAUUUCCUUUUUAUUAUACAAAUUAUAAAACUUGUGAAAUUGGUGGUGGUUCCUUUCCUUUAAUUCUUUUAAUGGGGGACAAAUUGGUUUGUUUUGACAAAUCAGCUGAUUAGUUGCAAGCUUCUGCAGGAAUACCGUCUGUUUACUUUCUGCAAUUUCCUUGCAAAAGAGAAUUAAACCUCCUUUCUCUCUCAGAAAGAUGUUGCUGGACAAUUCCUGCAGGAAAAGUAACCUAUUGUUUGAUUUUCACAGAUGAAUAAUUUUUGUUUGACGAAAAAAGUGAUUUGGCAACACUUUGUUAACACUUGCCUUUGUCAAUUGAGAAACCGUUAACAUUUGCUAAUUUUUUUGAAUGAAAAAAUUAAAAAUGUAAAUUUAAUUUUGUUUUUGUCAUUAAGACAACAUUUUUAUUACUUAAAAGUAUUUUGAGAGUGUUUAAAAGUCACAAAUUUCCAUAAAAAUUCAAUUUCACUUGCAAAAACAAAAGUGGUUUCAAGUCGGAAAAAUGUUGCGAUUUACAUUUUCUGAAGAAGCUAAAUACGAAAUUAAAAUCACUUUUAUACCGAAUUCUUUUAUGUGACAUGCCUGAUAGCUAUUGAGUCAAUUAUAAAACAUGAAAUUAUUCCCGGUGCCAUCUUAACUCAUAUGAACUCUUCAAAAAGUGAAGUUGUACACAAAAUUGGGUACAACUCUAGUUUAGUAAAAACUCUUCGAAUUUUUCGAAAUUUUUUUCCAGAAGUAGUUAAUUUUACCCUAAUUCCGGGAAACUAUUUUUUCUUGGGGAUGGACCCGGGACCCCCGAAAGUCCGGGUUCAAGACCCCGACUGGACCCGGAUCCACUUACCCGAUAUAGACAAUUUAGCUCUGGGUAUGUCCCAUAUGGGCUAACGGGAACCAAAGUUUUCUAAAUUUGAUACUUUUCUAGUCGGGGUCUUGAACCCGGACUUUCGGGUCAAAAAUCUGAGGUCCCGUGUCCGCCCCCCCCAAGAAAAAAAUAGUUCCCCGGGAUCAGGGUAAAAAUAACUAUUUCUGGAAAAAAAUUCGAAAAAAAAAUCGAAGAUUUUUUACUAAACUAGAGUUAAACCCAAAAUUGUAUCGUUCGUGGCCGAAGCAUACAACUUGGCUACCCUCCAAGUUGUACCAACGCACAGUGGUCGUUGACAUUGGCCAAAAUUCAAAAAAUGAAAAUCAGAUAUUUAUUGUUAAAUGUGUACACAUGAACUCUUAAGGGGUUAAACUUUUUAGAAAACAUAAUAAUCAUGACAUUAUUCUGACGGCCCACUUCGAGAAUUGCAUAAAAAAGAGAAAAUGUAGUUAGUUUCUUUUUUCAAUUGGAUCAGUGCAAAAGUGGAUUAAAAAUAGAACUGUAUUACAAAAUUAAAUACAUUUCAAAAUGACAAAUCUUGGCAUAAUUAUUGAAAAGCAAAGUAUUGACUUAUUUUUAGUGAAGUAUAGUUUAGUGGUUGUGUAUAAUAUAGAAGAUGUGCGGGUUCUAAAUUGCCUUUAAGAUUAAUUUUGACAAUAAAAUUGGAUUUCAGUUAAAGUUUUAAUUGUUUUCCCCCUUAAUCCUUCAAUGAGAUUUUUCACGCUGUUAGUAAUGGUAAUAAAAUUCUAAAAGUGCUAAUUUAACUCUCAGAUUUUGUCAGAUGUGUAUGUUAUGCCAAAAAUACUGAAGUGACUUCGCCGCAAUUUUGUCAGUUUUAUGUUGCAAGUGACAUAGAAUAUAUCUUUGUCAUUAUAUGUUGUUUGUCUUAUUGAUGUAUCCAUUGAAGAAGAAAAGUACUUCAAAGACAAAAAAAAGUCCAUUAAAUCCCAUAACUAUUAAGAAAGAAGUUAAAAUAUUACACAUUGAUCAUAAAUUACAGCUUACUAUGAUGGACGGUGUGUAAUGCCUUGACUCAGACGUCAUCAGUUAAAUGCUAUAUAUGUAAUGCAAGCCCAAAAGAAAUGAAUAAUAUUGAAGCCUGUUUACAAAGAGAGGUUCAAACAAAUAGUUAUGAAUUUGGAUUAACGCCUCUUCAUGCAUAUAUUCGUUUUUUUUUUUUUUUUGAGUACAUUCUUUUCUUCUUUUAUUACAGACUAGAAAUUAAAAUAUGGCAAAUUAGGUCAACUUAGAAGGAAAAAAUCAAUUCCAAAAAGAAAAAAUCCAAUUGAAAUUUCGAGAAGAAAUGGGUUUAAUUGUAUAUAACCCAAAGCAAGCAGGCAGCGGAUCUUUAAAAGACGGGAAUACUGCGAGAGGAUUUUUCAAAAAUGUGAGCUUAUCUGUGAUAACAGGCGUCCAAUAUUGUUACAAGCAAUAUUAAUGUCGAAAAAUUUAAGGCCUUUCCACUGGAAACUGCUAAAUUGUUUACAAAAAAUGUGAAAAUAUGGAAUUGAUUUGCAUUAAAAAUACUUUGACUCGUGACUAUGCCACGAAAUUAAAAAAUUGAACGCUUAGGAUCACAUUUUUGAGAGAAUAUCCAGACAUUUCAUUCACCUUUCGCGAAAUGUGACUCAUUUUAAAAAUGAACAAAAAAUAUCAAAUACAUGAAAACAACUUGUCGGACAGUAAGCGGGCAUAGCCUCAGGACUGUAUUUCGGUAGUUUUACAAAGCUGUUCUACCUCCUUAUUGUACCAUGCGCAAAACUACUUUUGAUAAUAAACUUAGUAGUUUCUAAACUAUUAUGAUUUGACUCCUAAUUCCAAAUCAAAACAUGAACAUAGACAGCAAACAAUUUUUUUUUUUGUAAAAGCAACUGCAUUAUCGCUUUACUGCCUCCAAACAUACAGAAUGCUACUCUUUAUGAAAUGUGUGGAACGAUUUGUCAGAUGAUAAACAUGUGGGCAUUAACAAUUAUAAUAAGCUUAACAAAUAUUCAAACGCAGUGUUUCUGUUAAAACCCCUUCCCAACAUACCAAAAAUACAAUACAGCUUGAGAAUAAUAUUAUGAAAAUAGUUUAACGUAGGAAUUCCUCAACAUUGCUAGAGAAAAACUUUUUUGCACAAACUUUUCUCAAAUCUGUCCUUUGUUGACAAAUUUGUUUUGAUUUUUUUUUUUUGUGAAAAUUGUCGACAAAAAAAAAUAUUUUCUUUGGUUAAAAUCAAAAUCACGCGAAUUUAAGACCCAUUUCUGGACGAAACUCUAAGAAUAGAGGCGUCAAAAAGUUGCAAGAAUUCAAGAGAUGUGAAGAAUUAGUGGAGGAGAUGCGGAAGCUCAAAUAAGGGGAAAGAAAGCAUCUAGGUAUCAAUGCAACAGGAGGCAGCGACAGCUGGGAUGGCGAUCAAUGAAUGAAAUGUGUAAAAUAAUUAAAAAAAUUAAAAAAUAAAUAUUUUAUACCAUUGAAAAAAUAA
Molecule: long non-coding RNA, 3832 nt
Organism: Musca domestica (house fly)
Lineage: Eukaryota; Metazoa; Arthropoda; Insecta; Diptera; Muscidae
Exons: 2
Source: RefSeq, a predicted model, not a curated record